GGGUUGUGAGGUUAAGCGACUAAGCGUACACGGUGGAUGCCCUGGCAGUCAGAGGCGAUGAAGGACGUGCUAAUCUGCGAAAAGCGUCGGUAAGGUGAUAUGAACCGUUAUAACCGGCGAUGUCCGAAUGGGGAAACCCAGUGUGAUUCGUCACACUAUCGUUAACUGAAUACAUAGGUUAACGAGGCGAACCGGGGGAACUGAAACAUCUAAGUACCCCGAGGAAAAGAAAUCAACCGAGAUUCCCCCAGUAGCGGCGAGCGAACGGGGAGCAGCCCAGAGUCUGAAUCAGCUUGUGUGUUAGUGGAACGGUCUGGAAAGUCCGACGGUACAGGGUGAUAGUCCCGUACACCAAAAUGCACAGGCUGUGAACUCGAAGAGUAGGGCGGGACACGUGGUAUCCUGUCUGAAUAUGGGGGGACCAUCCUCCAAGGCUAAAUACUCCUGACUGACCGAUAGUGAACCAGUACCGUGAGGGAAAGGCGAAAAGAACCCCGGCGAGGGGAGUGAAAAAGAACCUGAAACCGUGUACGUACAAGCAGUGGGAGCACCUUCGGGUGUGACUGCGUACCUUUUGUAUAAUGGGUCAGCGACUUAUAUUCUGUAGCAAGGUUAACCGUAUAGGGGAGCCGCAGGGAAACCGAGUCUUAACUGGGCGUUAAGUUGCAGGGUAUAGACCCGAAACCCGGUGAUCUAGCCAUGGGCAGGUUGAAGGUUGGGUAACACUAACUGGAGGACCGAACCGACUAAUGUUGAAAAAUUAGCGGAUGACUUGUGGCUGGGGGUGAAAGGCCAAUCAAACCGGGAGAUAGCUGGUUCUCCCCGAAAGCUAUUUAGGUAGCGCCUCGUGAACUCAUCUUCGGGGGUAGAGCACUGUUUCGGCUAGGGGGUCAUCCCGACUUACCAACCCGAUGCAAACUACGAAUACCGAAGAAUGUUAUCACGGGAGACACACGGCGGGUGCUAACGUCCGUCGUGAAGAGGGAAACAACCCAGACCGCCAGCUAAGGUCCCAAAGUCACAGUUAAGUGGGAAACGAUGUGGGAAGGCACAGACAGCCAGGAUGUUGGCUUAGAAGCAGCCAUCAUUUAAAGAAAGCGUAAUAGCUCACUGGUCGAGUCGGCCUGCGCGGAAGAUGUAACGGGGCUAAACUGUGCACCGAAGCUGCGGCAGCGACACUAUGUGUUGUUGGGUAGGGGAGCGUUCUGUAAGCCUGCGAAGGUGGCCUGUGAGGGUUGCUGGAGGUAUCAGAAGUGCGAAUGCUGACAUAAGUAACGAUAAUGCGGGUGAAAAGCCCGCACGCCGGAAGACCAAGGGUUCCUGUCCAACGUUAAUCGGGGCAGGGUGAGUCGACCCCUAAGGCGAGGCCGAAAGGCGUAGUCGAUGGGAAACAGGUUAAUAUUCCUGUACUUGGUGUUACUGCGAAGGGGGGACGGAGAAGGCUAUGUUAGCCGGGCGACGGUUGUCCCGGUUUAAGCAUGUAGGCGGAGGUUCCAGGUAAAUCCGGUACCUUUUUAACGCUGAGGUGUGAUGACGAGGCACUACGGUGCUGAAGUAACAAAUGCCCUGCUUCCAGGAAAAGCCUCUAAGCAUCAGGUAACAUUGAAUCGUACCCCAAACCGACACAGGUGGUCAGGUAGAGAAUACCAAGGCGCUUGAGAGAACUCGGGUGAAGGAACUAGGCAAAAUGGUGCCGUAACUUCGGGAGAAGGCACGCUGAUAUGUAGGUGAAGCCCCUGCGGGUGGAGCUGAAAUCAGUCGAAGAUACCAGCUGGCUGCAACUGUUUAUUAAAAACACAGCACUGUGCAAACACGAAAGUGGACGUAUACGGUGUGACGCCUGCCCGGUGCCGGAAGGUUAAUUGAUGGGGUUAUCCGUAAGGAGAAGCUCUUGAUCGAAGCCCCGGUAAACGGCGGCCGUAACUAUAACGGUCCUAAGGUAGCGAAAUUCCUUGUCGGGUAAGUUCCGACCUGCACGAAUGGCGUAAUGAUGGCCAGGCUGUCUCCACCCGAGACUCAGUGAAAUUGAACUCGCUGUGAAGAUGCAGUGUACCCGCGGCAAGACGGAAAGACCCCGUGAACCUUUACUAUAGCUUGACACUGAACAUUGAGCCUUGAUGUGUAGGAUAGGUGGGAGGCUUUGAAGCGUGGACGCCAGUCUGCGUGGAGCCAACCUUGAAAUACCACCCUUUAAUGUUUGAUGUUCUAACGUUGGCCCCUGAUCGGGGUUGCGGACAGUGUCUGGUGGGUAGUUUGACUGGGGCGGUCUCCUCCCAAAGAGUAACGGAGGAGCACGAAGGUUAGCUAAUCCUGGUCGGACAUCAGGAGGUUAGUGCAAUGGCAUAAGCUAGCUUGACUGCGAGCGUGACGGCGCGAGCAGGUGCGAAAGCAGGUCAUAGUGAUCCGGUGGUUCUGAAUGGAAGGGCCAUCGCUCAACGGAUAAAAGGUACUCCGGGGAUAACAGGCUGAUACCGCCCAAGAGUUCAUAUCGACGGCGGUGUUUGGCACCUCGAUGUCGGCUCAUCACAUCCUGGGGCUGAAGUAGGUCCCAAGGGUAUGGCUGUUCGCCAUUUAAAGUGGUACGCGAGCUGGGUUUAGAACGUCGUGAGACAGUUCGGUCCCUAUCUGCCGUGGGCGCUGGAGAAUUGAGGGGGGCUGCUCCUAGUACGAGAGGACCGGAGUGGACGCAUCACUGGUGUUCGGGUUGUCAUGCCAAUGGCAUUGCCCGGUAGCUAAAUGCGGAAGAGAUAAGUGCUGAAAGCAUCUAAGCACGAAACUUGCCCCGAGAUGAGUUCUCCCUGAGACUUUAAGUCUCCUGAAGGAACGUUAAAGACGAUGACGUUGAUAGGUCGGGUGUGUAAGCGUAGCGAUACGUUGAGCUAACCGAUACUAAUGAACCGUGAGGCUUAACCUUACAACGCCGAAGCUGUU
This 2931-nucleotide ribosomal RNA is filed under the name Klebsiella aerogenes. RNAcentral describes it as "bacterial LSU rRNA". It matches the Rfam family "Bacterial large subunit ribosomal RNA". The record is from RNAcentral. Lineage: Bacteria; Pseudomonadati; Pseudomonadota; Gammaproteobacteria; Enterobacterales; Enterobacteriaceae.